This 1449-nucleotide ribosomal RNA is filed under the name uncultured organism. RNAcentral's name for it is "SSU rRNA". It matches the Rfam family "Bacterial small subunit ribosomal RNA". The record is from RNAcentral.
GAACGCUAGCUACAGGCUUAACACAUGCAAGUCGAGGGGCAGCAUGGUCUUAGCUUGCUAAGGCCGAUGGCGACCGGCGCACGGGUGAGUAACACGUAUCCAACCUGCCGUCUACUCUUGGACAGCCUUCUGAAAGGAAGAUUAAUACAAGAUGGCAUCAUGAGUCCGCAUGUUCACAUGAUUAAAGGUAUUCCGGUAGACGAUGGGGAUGCGUUCCAUUAGAUAGUAGGCGGGGUAACGGCCCACCUAGUCUUCGAUGGAUAGGGGUUCUGAGAGGAAGGUCCCCCACAUUGGAACUGAGACACGGUCCAAACUCCUACGGGAGGCAGCAGUGAGGAAUAUUGGUCAAUGGGCGAGAGCCUGAACCAGCCAAGUAGCGUGAAGGAUGACUGCCCUAUGGGUUGUAAACUUCUUUUAUAAAGGAAUAAAGUCGGGUAUGGAUACCCGUUUGCAUGUACUUUAUGAAUAAGGAUCGGCUAACUCCGUGCCAGCAGCCGCGGUAAUACGGAGGAUCCGAGCGUUAUCCGGAUUUAUUGGGUUUAAAGGGAGCGUAGAUGGAUGUUUAAGUCAGUUGUGAAAGUUUGCGGCUCAACCGUAAAAUUGCAGUUGAUACUGGAUAUCUUGAGUGCAGUUGAGGCAGGCGGAAUUCGUGGUGUAGCGGUGAAAUGCUUAGAUAUCACGAAGAACUCCGAUUGCGAAGGCAGCCUGCUAAGCUGCAACUGACAUUGAGGCUCGAAAGUGUGGGUAUCAAACAGGAUUAGAUACCCUGGUAGUCCACACGGUAAACGAUGAAUACUCGCUGUUUGCGAUAUACUGCAAGCGGCCAAGCGAAAGCGUUAAGUAUUCCACCUGGGGAGUACGCCGGCAACGGUGAAACUCAAAGGAAUUGACGGGGGCCCGCACAAGCGGAGGAACAUGUGGUUUAAUUCGAUGAUACGCGAGGAACCUUACCCGGGCUUAAAUUGCAGAUGAAUUACGGUGAAAGCCGUAAGCCGCAAGGCAUCUGUGAAGGUGCUGCAUGGUUGUCGUCAGCUCGUGCCGUGAGGUGUCGGCUUAAGUGCCAUAACGAGCGCAACCCUUGUUGUCAGUUACUAACAGGUUCCGCUGAGGACUCUGACAAGACUGCCAUCGUAAGAUGCGAGGAAGGUGGGGAUGACGUCAAAUCAGCACGGCCCUUACGUCCGGGGCUACACACGUGUUACAAUGGGGGGUACAGAGGGCCGCUACCACGCGAGUGGAUGCCAAUCCCCAAAACCUCUCUCAGUUCGGACUGGAGUCUGCAACCCGACUCCACGAAGCUGGAUUCGCUAGUAAUCGCGCAUCAGCCACGGCGCGGUGAAUACGUUCCCGGGCCUUGUACACACCGCCCGUCAAGCCAUGGGAGCCGGGGGUACCUGAAGUGCGUAACCGCGAGGAGCGCCCUAGGGUAAAACUGGUGACUGGGGCUAA